Molecule: ribosomal RNA, 482 nt
Filed under: uncultured bacterium
Lineage: Bacteria
Description: bacterial SSU rRNA
Rfam family: Bacterial small subunit ribosomal RNA
Source: RNAcentral
AUUGAACGCUGGCGGCAUGCCUUACACAUGCAAGUCGAACGGUAACGGGCCUUCGGGUGCCGACGAGUGGCGAACGGGUGAGUAAUGUAUCGGAACGUACCUUUCAGUGGGGGAUAACGUAGCGAAAGUUACGCUAAUACCGCAUAUUCUGUGAGCAGGAAAGCAGGGGAUCGCAAGACCUUGCGCUGAUUGAGCGGCCGAUAUCAGAUUAGGUAGUUGGUGGGGUAAAGGCCCACCAAGCCAACGAUCUGUAGCUGGUCUGAGAGGACGACCAGCCACACUGGAACUGAGACACGGUCCAGACUCCUACGGGAGGCAGCAGUGGGGAAUUUUGGACAAUGGGCGCAAGCCUGAUCCAGCAAUGCCGCGUGCAGGAUGAAGGCCUUCGGGUUGUAAACUGCUUUUGUACGGAACGAAAAGGCUCUGGUUAAUACCUGGGGCUCAUGACGGUACCGUAAGAAUAAGCACCGGCUAACUACGUG